Molecule: ribosomal RNA, 351 nt
Filed under: Triticum aestivum (bread wheat)
Lineage: Eukaryota; Viridiplantae; Streptophyta; Magnoliopsida; Poales; Poaceae
Description: partial small subunit ribosomal RNA
Source: RNAcentral
AUGUUUACAGGAAGGAGCCCGACGGAAGGCACAUUCAGAGAUUCAUUGGAUCUGCAUAAGUUUGUCGAGGAUGCUCUUCCAGAUAGAACCUUGGAGAUAGCUGACCCAACGAUGUGGCUGCACAGACAACAACAUGAUAACACCACAAGUAUUAGAAUCCAGGAGUGCUUGGUUUCAGUUUUCAGGCUUGGCAUAUCCUGCUCGAAACAACAGCCUCGAGACCGAGCACUGACGAGAGAUGCAGCGGCAGAGAUGCAUGCAAUCAGAGAUGCAUACCUCAAGUGUGGGGUCUCACUUACCAGCACAGGAGGAGACCCAAGGCAGCUGCAGCAGGAGAGUGUGCAAUAUUAG